AUUGAACGCUGGCGGCAGGCCUAACACAUGCAAGUCGAACGAGUGGCGGACGGGUGAGUACUGUCUGGGAAACUGCCCGAUGGCGGGGGAUAACUACUGGAAACGGUAGCUAAUACCGCAUACCAUCGGAUGUGCCCAGAGGGGAUUAGCUUGUAGGUGAGGUAACGGCUCACCUAGUCGACGAUCCCUACCUGGUCUGAGAGGUUGACCAGCCACACUGGAACUGAGACACGGUCCAGACUCCUACGGGAGGCAGCAGUGGGGAAUAUUGGACAAUGGGCGAAAGCCUGACGCAGCCAUGCCGCGUGUAUGAAGAAGGCCUUCGGGUUGUAAAGUACUUUCGGCGGGGAGGCGUUACCCGAAGAAGAAGCACCGGCUAACUCCGUGCCAGCCGCCGCGGUAAUAC
Molecule: ribosomal RNA, 406 nt
Filed under: uncultured bacterium
Lineage: Bacteria
Description: partial 16S ribosomal RNA
Rfam family: Bacterial small subunit ribosomal RNA
Source: RNAcentral